ACGAACGCUGGCGGCAUGCCUAACACAUGCAAGUCGAACGAGACCUUCGGGUCUAGUGGCGCACGGGUGCGUAACGCGUGGGAACCUGCCCUUAGGUUCGGAAUAACUCCCCGAAAGGGGUGCUAAUACCGGAUAAUGUCUUCGGACCAAAGAUUUAUCGCCUUUGGAUGGGCCCGCGUUGGAUUAGCUAGUUGGUAGGGUAAAAGCCUACCAAGGCGACGAUCCAUAGCUGGUCUGAGAGGAUGAUCAGCCACACUGGGACUGAGACACGGCCCAGACUCCUACGGGAGGCAGCAGUGGGGAAUAUUGGACAAUGGGCGAAAGCCUGAUCCAGCAAUGCCGCGUGAGUGAUGAAGGCCUUAGGGUUGUAAAGCUCUUUUACCAGGGAUGAUAAUGACAGUACCGGGAGAAUAAGCUCCGGCUAACUCCGUG
This 432-nucleotide ribosomal RNA is filed under the name uncultured bacterium. RNAcentral describes it as "partial 16S ribosomal RNA". It matches the Rfam family "Bacterial small subunit ribosomal RNA", at positions 29 to 507 of the family's 1533-position model. The record is from RNAcentral.